AACGCGAAGAACCUUACCUACCCUUGACAUGGUCGGAAUCCAGAAGAGAUUCGGCAUUGCUCGAAAGAGAACCGGGGCACAGGUGCUGCAUGUCAGUCGUCAGCUUGUGUCGUGAGAUGAUGGGUUAAGUCCAGCAAAGACCGCAACCCUUGUCCUUAGUUGGUACGCAAGGGCACUCUAAGGAGACUGCCGGUGACAAACCGGAGGAAGGUGGGGAUGACGUCAAGUCCUCAUGGCCCUUAUGGCUAGGGCUUCACACGUCAUACAAUGGUCGGAACAGAGGGUUGCCAACCCGCGAGGGGGAGCUAAUCCCAGAAAACCGAUCGUAGUCCGGAUUGCAGUCUGCAACUCGAGUGCAUGAAGUGGGAAUCGCUAGUAAUCGCGAUCAGCAUGGCAAUACGUUCCCGGGUCUUGUACACACCG
RNAcentral lists this ribosomal RNA (423 nucleotides) under uncultured bacterium. RNAcentral's name for it is "bacterial SSU rRNA". It matches the Rfam family "Bacterial small subunit ribosomal RNA", at positions 958 to 1392 of the family's 1533-position model. The record is from RNAcentral.